GUGCCAGCAGCCGCGGUAAUACGUAGGGACCGAGCGUUGUCCGGAAUCAUUGGGCGUAAAGAGCGUGUAGGCGGCCAACUAAGUCCUGCGUGAAAUCUCGGGGCUCAACCCCGAGCGGUCGUGGGAAACUGGUUGGCUAGAGUGCGGGAGAGGAGAGUGGAAUUCCUGGUGUAGCGGUGAAAUGCGCAGAUAUCAGGAAGAACACCCGUGGCGAAGGCGGCUCUCUGGAACGCAACUGACGCUGAGACGCGAAAGCGUGGGGAGCAAACAGGAUUAGAUACCCUGGUAGUCCACGCCGUAAACGAUGGACGCUAGGUGUGGGCGGUGUCGACUCCGUCCGUGCCGAAGCUAACGCAUUAAGCGUCCCGCCUGGGGAGUACGGCCGCAAGGCUAAA
Molecule: ribosomal RNA, 395 nt
Filed under: uncultured bacterium
Lineage: Bacteria
Description: bacterial SSU rRNA
Rfam family: Bacterial small subunit ribosomal RNA
Source: RNAcentral